Molecule: non-coding RNA, 381 nt
Rfam family: Bacterial RNase P class B
About the family: Ribonuclease P (RNase P) is a ubiquitous endoribonuclease, found in archaea, bacteria and eukarya as well as chloroplasts and mitochondria. Its best characterised activity is the generation of mature 5'-ends of tRNAs by cleaving the 5'-leader elements of precursor-tRNAs.
Source: Rfam
GACUCUGAGUAAUCGCGGUCAGUUUUUACUGGCUGAGGAAAGUCCACUCUCGCACAAGCUGAGACGCUUGUAGUGUUCGUGCUCGGUGAAAAAAUAAGCCGGGGAAUUGUAUUUUUACGAUUACGGCGAAAGAACAGACUAAGGAUUUUUAAUCUAUGUCUUAGUAUUUCCUAAGGUGCUAUAGAGACGAUUAAUUUGAGAAAUCAAAUUACUGGAACGUAGUAAACCCCUCGAGCGGGAAACCCAAACUUUGGUAGGGGAGCUUUACACACGGAAAUUGAACCAAGUGUAGGGCAAGAAUCUUUGAUUCUUGAGAUAGAUGAUUACUACUCAAUUGUUAUUCCUGAUAUUUCAAUUGAGCACAAAACAUGGCUUACAGGG